AUAUAUAUAUAUAUAUAUAUAUAAUCUAUUUAGGAUUAUCGGGGAAAUUAUUUUGAUUUGCUAUUUUUUUUAUGCUUCGUCUUAUAUCUUUUGUAUGUCCAUUAAUACGUUGGUGUACCUGGUUGCUGGUUGGUGUAUAUAUGUAUGGUCACCAACAAGUCUACCGUGAAUUCCGAUCUGUCAUUUUUAGUAAGAUUUGUUUUUGUAACGGGGCACCCGAAUA
This 223-nucleotide long non-coding RNA is filed under the name Mytilus galloprovincialis (Mediterranean mussel). The record is from RNAcentral. Lineage: Eukaryota; Metazoa; Mollusca; Bivalvia; Mytilida; Mytilidae.